GACGAACGCUGGCGGCGUGCUUAACACAUGCAAGUCGAACGGUAAGGCUCCAGCUUGCUGGGGUACACGAGUGGCGAACGGGUGAGUAACACGUGGGUGACCUGCCCUGCACUUCGGGAUAAGCCUGGGAAACUGGGUCUAAUACCGGAUAGGACCGCACCGUGAGGGUGUGGUGGAAAGUUUUUUCGGUGUGGGAUGGGCCCGCGGCCUAUCAGCUUGUUGGUGGGGUAAUGGCCUACCAAGGCGGCGACGGGUAGCCGGCCUGAGAGGGUGGACGGCCACAUUGGGACUGAGACACGGCCCAGACUCCUACGGGAGGCAGCAGUGGGGAAUAUUGCACAAUGGGCGGAAGCCUGAUGCAGCGACGCCGCGUGGGGGAUGACGGCCUUCGGGUUGUAAACUCCUUUCACCAUCGACGAAGGGUUUCUGACGGUAGAUGGAGAAGAAGCACCGGCUAACUACGUGCCAGCAGCCGCGGUAAUACGUAGGGUGCGAGCGUUGUCCGGAAUUACUGGGCGUAAAGAGCUCGUAGGUGGUUUGUCGCGUCGUCUGUGAAAUUCCGGGGCUUAACUCCGGGCGUGCAGGCGAUACGGGCAUAACUUGAGUACUGUAGAGGAGACUGGAAUUCCUGGUGUAGCGGUGAAAUGCGCAGAUAUCAGGAGGAACACCGGUGGCGAAGGCGGGUCUCUGGGCAGUAACUGACGCUGAGGAGCGAAAGCAUGGGGAGCGAACAGGAUUAGAUACCCUGGUAGUCCAUGCCGUAAACGGUGGGCGCUAGGUGUGGGUUUCCUUCCACGGGAUCCGUGCCGUAGCUAACGCAUUAAGCGCCCCGCCUGGGGAGUACGGCCGCAAGGCUAAAACUCAAAGGAAUUGACGGGGGCCCGCACAAGCGGCGGAGCAUGUGGAUUAAUUCGAUGCAACGCGAAGAACCUUACCUGGGCUUGACAUAUACAGGAUCGCGCCAGAGAUGGUGUUUCCCUUGUGGCUUGUAUACAGGUGGUGCAUGGUUGUCGUCAGCUCGUGUCGUGAGAUGUUGGGUUAAGUCCCGCAACGAGCGCAACCCUUGUCUUAUGUUGCCAGCACGUUGUGGUGGGGACUCGUAAGAAACUGCCGGGGUUAACUCGGAGGAAGGUGGGGAUGACGUCAAAUCAUCAUGCCCCUUAUGUCCAGGGCUUCACACAUGCUACAAUGGUCGGUACAGUGGGUUGCCAGUCCGUGAGGGCGAGCUAAUCCCGCAAAGCCGGUCUCAGUUCGGAUCGGGGUCUGCAACUCGACCCCGUGAAGUCGGAGUCGCUGGUAAUCGCAGAUCAGCAACGCUGCGGUGAAUACGUUCCCGGGCCU
RNAcentral lists this ribosomal RNA (1341 nucleotides) under uncultured bacterium. RNAcentral describes it as "16S ribosomal RNA". It matches the Rfam family "Bacterial small subunit ribosomal RNA", at positions 28 to 1381 of the family's 1533-position model. The record is from RNAcentral.